RNAcentral lists this transfer RNA (73 nucleotides) under Bos taurus (domestic cattle). It matches the Rfam family "tRNA". From Rfam's summary of the family: Transfer RNA (tRNA) molecules are approximately 80 nucleotides in length. Their secondary structure includes four short double-helical elements and three loops (D, anti-codon, and T loops). Lineage: Eukaryota; Metazoa; Chordata; Mammalia; Artiodactyla; Bovidae. RNAcentral also lists the same sequence under 2 other names. The record is from Rfam by way of RNAcentral.
UCCCUGGUGGUCUAGUGGUUAGGAUUCUCGGCUUUCAUUGCUGUGGGCCCAGGUUCAAUCCCUGGUUAAGGAA